This 281-nucleotide long non-coding RNA is filed under the name Bos taurus (domestic cattle). RNAcentral's name for it is "long non-coding RNA NONBTAT013922". Lineage: Eukaryota; Metazoa; Chordata; Mammalia; Artiodactyla; Bovidae. The record is from RNAcentral.
GGACCAUUAACAUCCUGUUUUGUAAUCUCCACUGGCUUCUUGAUGUGCAGCAAAUCUUAAGUGGAAAUCUGAAAAAUCUACUCUGACGUCUUCAUUUGAUGUUCUGGUUAAUGUUUUAGAGGCUAGUGAUGGAAAUCAGAGUUCUCUUCAGCUGUCUUGCUUAACUAAACAAAAUAUGGAUUACAUUUUGGAAGAAGUUAUGAGGAAGGAGACUCAUUUCAUUUGUCUUGAGAAGUUUAGAAAAUCAAUUUAAGAAGACUGGUGGAAUCAGGUGAACAUUG